CCGAUUAAAAAUUGGAUCGAAAAUUUGCGAUCACCACGAAAAGGGAAAAAUUUUGUCUCUUGGGUCUUUGCUAGAGCGUCGUCGACCGGUCACCGAACCGCUGCCGUCGAUUUUGUUAGAGAAGGCCACCAAAAUGCUCAGUUUUUCGCCUGGGGUCCAUAUCCGGCUUUAAUUUGCAGAGAGGAGGCGCCCUUAAGUUGAAAAUCACAUUGACGACCUCCUCCUUACCGUCAAUCAUCAUGGAUUCGCAGGACGGAGCUGGUCGUGGGAAUUUAUGGAGGGGAAAUGCUCGUGAGGUUAUGUGGAGUUGAUCGGAGGUCUCGAUUCGCGAGAAUUUAUGGACGGAGCUGGUCGCGGGAAUCUUGAAUAUAUUUCCCGAAUUCUCGAUUUGCUUGCUUUACUAAGGUUAAAAAAAUCCAAUUAAAUUAUAAAGAUAUUAUAUAUAUAUUUUUAUGUUAAAAUUUUUUAAUUGGCUAUUACUAAGGUUAUUUUAGAGUAUCUUAAAUUUUAUAAGGACAAUAUAUAAAAUCUCAUUAUUCCCCUCAAUCCCACUUUUAUAUAUAGUAUAAACAAUUAAAUUUUUAGCAAGUCAAAUUCAAUUAAUAUUUUAAUUUUAUUAAUGCUCGCCCAAUAUUUAGGCCACAAAAAUAAGAGUUAUGAGUAGCUAUAAAUGCUUUUCUUGUACUCCCCAUCCCAAAAAGAUAGUCCAUCUUUUCUUUUUUAUUUGUCCCAACAUAUAGUUUAUUUUUCAUUUUGAAUUAUAGUUGAACAUUAAAUUGGCUAUUAUACAUUUAUUAAAUUUUAUCUUAUUUUCAAUAGCCUUCAUUAAUUCUUACUUAUUAUUUCAAUAUAAUAAUUACUCAUGUGUUAUUUAAGAUGGGCAUAAUAGAAAAUUUAUAUUAUAAAAUUGUCCUAUAAUCAUAAUAAUUGCUACUUUCUUAAUCUGUGUGAAAAUAAAAAAUUGACUAUAUUUUUUGAAAAUAUUAUUUCAUCAAUAACUCCGAUACGAUAAUAAAAUUAAUAUAAUUUGGAAUACAAUUCCAAACUUUUAGACCAGCCAUGGCCUAAAAUAUUAUACUUCCAUUUAUAAUACCUAAUGGUUCUCAUUAAAUUUUGCAGCUGGCAAUAUCAGUGAAACCUUUGAAGGUGAAAAACUGGAUUCUUCCAGAAAUGCCAGGGCUUAUAACUGAUUUUCUGAUUUCUCUAGAUGAUCGGUUUCUGUACUUUGUCAAUUGGCUUCAUGGAGAUGUCAGACAGUACAACAUUGAGGACAUAAGAAAUCCUGUCUUGACAGGUCAAGUUUGGGUGGGGUGCUUGAUCCAAAAAGGAAGCCCUAUAGUGGUUGAGACAGAAGAUGGUGACACCUGGCAGGCUUCUGUUCCAGAGAUUAAGGUUUGCAUCACAUCCAUUUUAAAGAACUCUUCCCCUCCUCCCUUAAUUUCUUGACCAAAAACUUCCUUUCAAAGUGUUUUCUGCCAUGACAGUUGAUAAUGCUUUAAGAACAGAUUUUGGUUUUAAAUGUUAUUUGAUUUCUUUAAAUUUGGCUAAACUAUAAUGCUACAGAUGCAUUAUUAUAGCCUAAUAAGUCCACAGUUUCAACAUAAAAGAAACAUCAUAUGCCUUUAGGCUCAUUCUUUUUUUCUUUUUAAAGUUGAAAAAUCAUAUAGGUCUCUAUGUUGUUUUGUGUUACUGUCAUGGGGAAGCAUCAUUCAUUGGCGACUAUUUUCAUGCAUCACUUGCAUGGCAUAUUCUUAUGGGUACACAAAGGGAGAGUCUACUUAGUGAUUGACGAGUUUCAUAUUUUCUUUUCAGGGUAAUCGAUUGAGAGGAGGACCCCAGAUGAUCCAGCUAAGUCUGGAUGGGAAGCGACUUUAUGUCACCAAUUCACUCUUCAAUACUUGGGAUCGUCAGUUUUAUCCGGAACUUGUGGAGAACGGAUCUCACAUGUUGCAGAUUGAUGUUGACACUGAGAAAGGUGGUCUUAAAAUAAACCCAAACUUUUUUGUGGACUUUGCAGCUGAACCUGAAGGUCCUUCUCUUGCUCAUGAGAUGAGAUAUCCAGGCGGUGAUUGCACUUCAGAUAUUUGGAUUUAAGUAUCCAGAAUCAUUGUGCUAGCUGAGGGGUUACCUGAGAACUAAUGUUACAAUGAUCCAAAUAAAUAAGCCAUUCAGUUGUGUAGAUCCAAAGAUCGCCACAUCAUGGCAGAAUAAAUUCGGAUAAAGGAGAUAAGAUAUUAUACUUGUAAUGCUUCCUUAUUUGAUACAUCUGUAGUUCAAUGUAAAAAUGAAGUUUCUUAAAUCCAUAUCAUAUGACUAUCGUCUACUUAUUUUUGAACAAGCAAUUUAGAUUCCAAAGCGCUCUUAUUCAUUCAGAUAUGGAUAAUGCUACAAGUUUCGAUUGUUCCUACUCGACAGAAAGUCAACUUUAUCAACUCUGGUAUCAAUUAUGAUAUCAUUUCUAUUCUCUAUGAGGAUGAAAUUGACUUGCUGAUGCACAAGAAUACUUUGUAUCGCAAUAAAAGAAUAUUCCACUUACAAGCAAUAGUAUAGCUCCUCCAAAGAAAACAUAUUCCAGGUUUUCACUAGGAAUAAACCUUGUUCUUCCCAUGAUUACUACUCCGUUACCCACAAAUGAGAAACCAAUAUCGACCAGCAGGGGCAACCUAUGCUCUUCCUGUCUCUGCUCAUCUAUCUCUUGGCUUGAACCCCUCAAUCUUCUGCAUUUAACGUAAAGAGCAUACACAAAAAGAAAGGCGAAUCCGGCCAAAAGAUAUGUAAACCCAGUUAAGAAAUUCCGGUUGGUAAUGCUGCUACUUUCCAGAAAUGCAGACAUCAAAAAGAAGUAGUUCCAAUAGGCAGAUUCAUAGGAUUUGUUCACUUGUAAGCAUCUACAGGUUAAAAGGUGAAGGCAAGUUAAUGAUACUAAUGUUACUAGAGUUGUUAACUCAUGAUGAAGAAAGAUAUCACAUAUCAACUGCAGUGAGUGACAACAGGCAAUUAUAGAGCAAAACAAUGAAAUUUGAGAGAUAUAUAAGUUUUGGGUUGUUCUUGCCAUCUUUGAAAUGUAGAAAGAUAGGCAAAGUGAAAGAAGAAAAAAAUUUGGAUGUGUUAUUGUAAUGUGAUACAAAGUGAUGAAGAAAUAGCUGUACUAAAGAAGCACCAUUUGACAUGACUCACAUGAUGAGCUUAAGAUGGUCUUCUCUUAAGACAUAAAAUAAUAUGUUAGUAUAUUAAAAAGUUCAGACAAGUGGAUGAAUACAGCCAUCUUUAGGUCAAAGAUUGAAAAUUUAAACAUGCCAGCAAAGAAAUGGUAGCUUCUCUUCCUCGUUUUGAGAAUCAAUACAGAAAGUCAAUUCUGUUAAUUUCAGUGGCCUCUCCUUCCAUCUUUUACAAUUUCCAUAUUCUGUCUCUACUCCAAGGACUAUUCAAAGUUCAGCUUAUUAGGUAAGCAUAUUAGGUAAGCAUUCACCGUUAGUGAUUAUAUAAUUUCUCUUACUUAAUAAGUUUCUCAACUUUUCAGUAAUAGAAUCUAACAUAACAAGUACUUCAUUUUCUGUGAUAAUAAAUUAUACUCAUUUAAAUCCCAAUUUGUAUUUUAUGAGUCAAUUUAUAUUAAAUAAAUCAACUAAAAUAAAGUUUAACUAGACUAACUUGAAUUAACUAGUUCUAAUUGAAUUUUUACAAGAAAAUAUAGUGAAGGGACUUAGGGCUUACCGAUUAAAAAUUGGAUCGAAAAUUUGCGAUCACCACGAAAAGGGAAAAAUUUUGUCUCUUGGGUCUUUGCUAGAGCGUCGUCGACCGGUCACCGAACUGCUGCCGUCGAUUUUGUUAGAGAAGGCCACCAAAAUGCUCAGUUUUUCUCCUGGGGUCCAUAUCCGGCUUUAAUUUGCAGAGAGGAGGAGCCCUUAAGUUGAAAAUCACAUUGACGACCUCCUCCUUACCGUCAAUCAUCAUGCAUUCGCAGGACGGAGCUGG
This 3975-nucleotide long non-coding RNA is filed under the name Jatropha curcas. RNAcentral's name for it is "long non-coding RNA (JCUR_LNC001995)". The record is from RNAcentral. Lineage: Eukaryota; Viridiplantae; Streptophyta; Magnoliopsida; Malpighiales; Euphorbiaceae.